GAACAGAAAAACCGCCUCCAAAGGUGAUAUUGAGCUAUUCUCCGUCCCCACAUCGAGCUUGUGUCGAAUGAAUAAAACAUGCUGCAUAAAGUUCACUUUGCAUUUCUUAUGGUUACACUGUUCCCAAGAAUAUUCGCCUCUUACGUGGAACAGUCGCCUUCUGUUUUAUCGAUUGCAGCAGCAGAAUCGACAACACUGAAAUGUAAGCUGACGAAUACUAACUAUCCCAAUAUGCUUUGGUACAGACAACGACCAGAUCGGACAUUAGAAGCUCUAUUCAGUUCUGCUGGAGCUGGGAAUGUUAUGAAUUACACACUUGAGUCGUUUAAGGCCGAGAGAACCAAUAAUGCGCUGUUUACAAUGAAACUGAGUGACGCCUCUCCAUCUCACACCGCUGUCUACUUCUGUGCCUGUAGUAUCGCACAGCGUUUGAGAAAGAUGGAUUGCAGCUACAAAAAGCUGCAUGGGACCAACCGCAACUGCUCCAGUCUCUUCUACUGGAACCUGAUCAAUGCAUUUGUUUUGGAUACCUUCUAA
Molecule: non-coding RNA, 537 nt
Organism: Carcharodon carcharias (great white shark)
Lineage: Eukaryota; Metazoa; Chordata; Chondrichthyes; Lamniformes; Lamnidae
Source: the annotation of a RefSeq genome assembly